Canis lupus familiaris (dog) is the source of this 827-nucleotide long non-coding RNA. RefSeq lists it as uncharacterized. NCBI's taxonomy places the organism in Eukaryota, Metazoa, Chordata, Mammalia, Carnivora, Canidae. The transcript has 4 exons. The record is from RefSeq and is a predicted model, not a curated record.
ACCAACUGGGAACAGCUACGAGGUGGUUCACAGUUUCUUAACCAUGGCACAACUGGAUAAUUUUUUGUUGUGGAGGCUCUCUGCGCAUUAAAUAAUGUUUAGCAGCAUCCCAGGCAUCUGCCCACUAGAUGCUAGUGGCACCUCCUCUCCCCGUUGUGACAACAACAACGAAAAUGUCUCUGAACAUUGCCAGAUGUCCCCUGGUUGUGAGCCACUGUGAUAGUGGAAGGAUCACUGGGCUGCAAGAUUGUAGGCAGGUCUGGAGCCUCUCACCUCCCCGCAUCUCCUGGGACCCCACAGCAACAUGCUUGUUCCUCCUCCAGAUUAAAUGCUGCUGCACCCAACGAGCUGCUCCCGCCGAAGUGGGAAAGCGAGAUUCGAUUAGUAUGGAUUCUGGAAUCGGAUCUUAAACAUCUCUGAGAAGAAGAAUAUUCUAGCAACCAGCACACUGGGCUUCUCCGGACUCCUAUUUUCUCAGGGAAGAUUCUGCUUAGCUUGCCAGUGCGAACCCUGAGGAUCCCAUGAGGAGCUGGGGAAAUUUCUUCCAGAAACAUCGCUGAAUCCCCUGAAACACAGAUGAUAAAGGAGAUAAAAGUUAUUGUGGCCAGGUUCAUCUUACUGAAGUUGAAAACUAUAUUGUGGCUAAGUGAGAGAACAUCGCCAUUGGUAGGAAGUCUCCAGGAAAGUAUCUGUGGGUACCUAAGCUGAGCUACAGAGAGUAAAGAAACAGAUUUGGGGUGUGUGAAUGUGUGUGUGUGUGAGAGAGAGACACGCACAAAUGUUGAAGCAAUGAGAUGAAAUAUUAAAAGUAGGAAGAUGUAGGCCAA